Molecule: ribosomal RNA, 406 nt
Filed under: uncultured bacterium
Lineage: Bacteria
Description: bacterial SSU rRNA
Rfam family: Bacterial small subunit ribosomal RNA
Source: RNAcentral
UAGGGAAUAUUGCUCAAUGGGCGAAAGCCUGAAGCAGCAACGCCGCGUGGAGGAUGACACUUUUCGGAGCGUAAACUCCUUUUCUUAGGGAAGAACAAUGACGGUACCUAAGGAAUAAGCACCGGCUAACUCCGUGCCAGCAGCCGCGGUAAUACGGAGGGUGCAAGCGUUACUCGGAAUCACUGGGCGUAAAGGACGCGUAGGCGGAUUAUCAAGUCUUUUGUGAAAUCUAAUGGCUUAACCAUUAAACUGCUUGAGAAACUGAUAAUCUAGAGUGAGGGAGAGGCAGAUGGAAUUGGUGGUGUAGGGGUAAAAUCCGUAGAGAUCACCAAGAAUACCCAUUGCGAAGGCGAUCUGCUAGAACUCAACUGACGCUAAUGCGUGAAAGCGUGGGGAGCAAACAGGA